ACGAACGCUGGCGGCGUGCUUAACACAUGCAAGUCGAACGGAAAGGCCCUGUCUGUGUGGGGUGCUCGAGUGGCGAACGGGUGAGUAACACGUGAGUAACCUGCCCUUGACUUUGGGAUAACUUCAGGAAACUGGUGCUAAUACCGGAUAGGAGCUCCUGCCGCAUGGUGGGGGAUGGAAAGUUUCGGCGGUUGGGGAUGGACUCGCGGCGUAUCAGCUUGGUGGUGGGGUAGUGGCUUACUAAGGCAUUGACGGGUAGCCGGCCUGUGAGGGUGACCGGCCACAUUGGGACUGAGCUGCGGCACGGACUCCUACGGGACGCAGCAGUGGGGAAUAGUGCACAAUAGGCGGAAGGCUGACGCAGCGACGCCACGUGGGGGAUAGCGGCCUUCGGGUUGUAUACCGCUUUCGCCUGUGACGAGGCGUGAAUGACGGUAAUGUAUAAAGAAGCGACGGCUAACUACGUG
Molecule: ribosomal RNA, 467 nt
Filed under: uncultured bacterium
Lineage: Bacteria
Description: partial 16S ribosomal RNA
Rfam family: Bacterial small subunit ribosomal RNA
Source: RNAcentral